This 253-nucleotide ribosomal RNA is filed under the name uncultured bacterium. RNAcentral's name for it is "partial 16S ribosomal RNA". It matches the Rfam family "Bacterial small subunit ribosomal RNA", at positions 524 to 776 of the family's 1533-position model. The record is from RNAcentral.
GACGUAGGGUGCCAGCGUUGUUCGGAAUUACUGGGUGUAAAGGGUUCGUAGGCGGUGCGGCAAGUCGGGAGUGAAAUCUCUGGGCUUAACCCAGAGGCUGCUUCCGAAACUGCUGUGCUUGAGUGUGGGAGAGGCGCGUGGAAUUGCAGGUGUAGCGGUGAAAUGCGUAGAUAUCUGCAGGAACACCCGUGGCGAAAGCGGCGCGCUGGACCACUACUGACGCUGAGGAACGAAAGCUAGGGGAGCAAACAGG